CCUACGGGUGGCAGCAGUGAGGAAUAUUGCACAAUGGGGGAAACCCUGAUGCAGCAACGUCGCGUGAGUGAGGAAGUAUCUCUGUAUGUUAAGCCCCAUCUGCAGGGAAUAGAAAAGCCGCUACCUUGAAGAUUAGCCCCGGCUCACUACGUGCCAGCAGCCGCAGUAAUGCGUAGGGGGCAAGCGGUAUCCGGAUUUACUGGGUGUAAAGGGAGCGUAUACGGAAAGGCGAUUCAGAAGGGAAAGCCUAAGGCUCAAACAUGGGCGUGCGUUUGAAACUGUCAAACUAGAGUACGGGAGAGGUAAGAGGAAUGCGUAGUGUAGCGGUGAAAUGCGUAGAUAUUACGAAGAACACCAGUGGCGAAGGCAUCUUACUGGAGCGAAACUGACGUUGAAGCACGAAGGCGUGGGGAGCGAACAGGAUUAGAUACCCUAGUAGUC
RNAcentral lists this ribosomal RNA (441 nucleotides) under uncultured bacterium. RNAcentral's name for it is "partial 16S ribosomal RNA". It matches the Rfam family "Bacterial small subunit ribosomal RNA", at positions 338 to 795 of the family's 1533-position model. The record is from RNAcentral.